GAUGAACGCUGGCGGCGUGCCUAAUACAUGCAAGUCGAGCGAACAGACGAGGAGCUUGCUCCUCUGACGUUAGCGGCGGACGGGUGAGUAACACGUGGAUAACCUACCUAUAAGACUGGGAUAACUUCGGGAAACCGGAGCUAAUACCGGAUAAUAUGUUGAAUCGCAUGGUUCAACAGUGAAAGACGGUCUUGCUGUCACUUAUAGAUGGAUCCGCGCCGCAUUAGCUAGUUGGUAAGGUAACGGCUUACCAAGGCAACGAUGCGUAGCCGACCUGAGAGGGUGAUCGGCCACACUGGAACUGAGACACGGUCCAGACUCCUACGGGAGGCAGCAGUCGGGAAUCUUCCGCAAUGGGCGAAAGCCUGACGUAGCACCGCCGCGUGUGUGAAGAAGGUCUUCGGAUCGUAAAACUCUUUUAUUAGGGAAGAACAAAUGUGUAAGUAACUAUGCACGUCUUGACGGUACCUAAUCAGAAAGCCACGGCUAACUACGUG
RNAcentral lists this ribosomal RNA (497 nucleotides) under uncultured bacterium. RNAcentral's name for it is "partial 16S ribosomal RNA". It matches the Rfam family "Bacterial small subunit ribosomal RNA", at positions 28 to 507 of the family's 1533-position model. The record is from RNAcentral.